This 693-nucleotide long non-coding RNA is filed under the name Nicotiana tabacum (common tobacco). RNAcentral describes it as "long non-coding RNA (NTAB_LNC008191)". The record is from RNAcentral. Lineage: Eukaryota; Viridiplantae; Streptophyta; Magnoliopsida; Solanales; Solanaceae.
UUGGAGAAGCCUUCAAAUCAACGAAAUUGAGCUCAAUCUGAAACAAAAAGAAAAGGAAAAUCAGGAAAGAAGAUAAAAAUUUAACAAAUAAGUUUUUCUCAGAAAUCGUGUACCUAUCAGAAGGAUGUUGAGAGAAGAGAUAGAGGAUGAGUGACAUGCAUACACUCACUUCAUCUUCUUCUUCAUAGUUGUUAGAGAGAGAAAGAGAGGCUUGGUCCUUCAUCAUUAUCUUCUAAGAGACUAAGACUCAGCUGCUGUGAGGACCGCUGCAUCAUCCCUGCUGCAGCUAUGAUGACUCCAUGUGUGUGGAGAGAGACAGUGAUUGAGAAAGAGCAAGCGGAGGAGAGUGUUUGGUGGCUGCUAUGCUGAAAGGCGGAGCUUGAAUCGCAAAGAGAGGGAUUAGGGUUAGGAUUCUGUCGCUGCAGCUUAGCAUAGUCGAAGGUAUUUUGGGGAAAGAAUCAGAGAGGGGGAAAAGGCCCCGUGGGAAGGAUUUCGUAAAACAAAAUAUCUUUACUGCAGGGGUCCGUAACCCCUGAAAAUUGCAUCAAAUUUGCUGAUCUUAGGCCAACUGCCCCAAUUCGUGCAAUUUGCAGAUGUUCUAUUUAGUCUCCGAAAUUUAACAGAUCUUUUGUAGUAUAUGCACGCAUCAGACUUCAUCGGUCAUAAUCUGUUCUAUCACCUCAACCUGGGAGA